RNAcentral lists this ribosomal RNA (428 nucleotides) under uncultured bacterium. RNAcentral's name for it is "partial 16S ribosomal RNA". It matches the Rfam family "Bacterial small subunit ribosomal RNA", at positions 354 to 796 of the family's 1533-position model. The record is from RNAcentral.
GUAGGGAAUAUUGCACAAUGGGGGAAACCCUGAUGCAGCGACGCCGCGUGAGUGAUGAAGGCCUUCGGGUCGUAAAGCUCUGUCGUAUGGGACUAACAAAAUGAAGGUACCAUGCAAGAAAGGAUCGGCUAACUUCGUGCCAGCAGCCGCGGUAAGACGAGGGAUCCUAGCGUUGUUCGGAAUUAUUGGGCGUAAAGCGGGUGUAGGCGGGCCUGUCAGUCAGGUGUGAAAUCCCAGGGCUUAACCCUGGAAGUGCACUUGAUACGGCAGGUCUUGAGUGUGGUAGAGGCUAUUAGAAUUCUUGGUGUAGUGGUGAAAUACGUAGAUAUCAAGAGGCAUACCGGAGGCGAAGGCGGAUAGCUGGGCCAACACUGACGCUGAGACCCGAAAGCGUCGGGAUCAAACAGGAUUAGAUACCCUAGUAGUCC